UACAGAGGAUGCAAGCGUUAUCCGGAAUGAUUGGGCGUAAAGCGUCUGUAGGUGGCUUUUUAAGUCCGCCGUCAAAUCCCAGGGCUCAACUCUGGACAGGCGGUGGAAACUACCAAGCUGGAGUACGGUAGGGGCAGAGGGAAUUUCCGGUGGAGCGGUGAAAUGCGUAGAGAUCGGAAGGAACGCCCGUGGCGAAAGCGAGGUCCUGGACGUCUGCUGACGCUGAGACGCGAAAGCCAGGGGAGCGAACGGG
Molecule: ribosomal RNA, 253 nt
Filed under: uncultured bacterium
Lineage: Bacteria
Description: partial 16S ribosomal RNA
Rfam family: Bacterial small subunit ribosomal RNA
Source: RNAcentral